Eriocheir sinensis (Chinese mitten crab) is the source of this 2492-nucleotide RNA transcript. It is a transcript of the gene named haloalkane dehalogenase-like, with no coding region annotated. Lineage: Eukaryota; Metazoa; Arthropoda; Malacostraca; Decapoda; Varunidae. The record is from RefSeq and is a predicted model, not a curated record. The transcript has 6 exons.
AGGCAUCAUUUGGGUAACAGUGGGUUGCAUUAGGAUAUCUUUGGGUUAAAAAGACGCGCCCAGCACCCACGAACAGGCUGCAGAUGAUGGCCUUUAAAAAUGACAGGUGUGCUCCGUUACCUGUACCGGUGAGUAAAUCCUCCCCGCGGAAAUAAGUCGCGCCGAUGUCCACUACGCAUGCGCACUGAGGAAUAAAUGGCAGGAAAACACAAUAAUUUGGCUUAUCUUGUCCUAUUUUCUCAAUAUGUGAUCUCUGUGAAGGUUGAUAUUGCCUGCCAGAAAACAACACAUUAUACCAACAGCCUAAAAGAAGCAAGAACUGAAUGAAAAUCAAAGUGAGGUAAUUCUCUCUAAAAUCUCCCCCAUUCGUUUGUUCUAAAGCCUUCUCUGGAUUAAAAAUGUUUCUCUUGUGUUUGAUUGUUGUAUUAGAGACGAAAUGGGACAAGUAAAUAAUAGCGGUGAGUGAAAUAAAUAAUAAGUGUGAGCUCUGUGAGUUAUUUUGCGGCUGCGAGAUGAUUCCUACAACACGGCGGCCAGGUUCAAACGCCGAGAUAAGGGGCGGGUAGCAGGCCGGGCACUGGGCACUCUCUCCUCGGGUGUUUUGCGUGUGGUAUUGAUGUUAAGGAGGAAGGAGCCACGUAACAGUGUUCUGAAGGAGCCUCCAGCGUGAAGGGAUCCACUGGUACAGCGUCAUUAAGGGCAGCAUGGAGGUGGAGGUCAUCACUGGGGAGGUCAAGUACUCCCUCAGGGUACCACACCUGUCAACCUACACUGGGGACGACAACCUGACCACAGAGUUUUCCCUUUCCAUGGGCGGCCUGAGGUCCCGCUGGCAGGCCACCAUCCAGCCCUUCCUCCCCGCUAAGCCACACAAGCCACACGACAUGAACAGUGACGUGGGCAUCACCCUGACAUGCUUGAGGAGCAGCAUAGCAUUCCCACACAUUGAUAUAUCCUGCAACGUGGUGGGGCGGGGCCAGGCACACGAGAAGAAGCUGGAGCAGGUGGACGAGGGGACAUGGCAGGGGGUGCUGGUACCUCGCCUGGCCCUCCAUGUCUUUGAUCUCCUCCCCCAGGACACACUGACGGCCACCCUGCGCUUCAUAGUCAGGUCAGAUGAUGUGUGGAGGUUCAGUGACCCCUUAGAAGACCUGAGUGCUGAGUUACGGGACCUGCAAAAGGGGAAAUACAGCGACGUAACCAUUCUCACCACAGACGGGGUGGCCAUUCCUGCGCACAGUUUAAUCCUUCAUGCACGCUCGGACCUCCUACAAGGAACACCACGUGAGGUUAACCAUUCCCUAGACUCCCUUGAAGAGCACAUGACUCCAAAAACCAAGAGAGAACGACCUGAAACCCCUCUUGACAGCACUUUUGGAAGCGACCUGUUGUCACUGUCAGGGUAUCACUCACUCACGGCCUCAUCACUGUCAUCCUCAGCUGUUUCUAGUCCUUCAGAGUCCUCGUUACUGGGUGCUACAGUCCCUUCAGCUUCCCCCGUGGUCAGUAGCUGCACCCCAAGGCGUCGUUUCACCCCCACACACUCCACAGGGGACAAACGAAACCUAUCACCCUGCAAGUUCUCCUCCAGCAAGCGUCUCACCCCCAGAGUUACUUCAGCUUCCCCAGUGCCCAAUAACCCAACCCCAAGACGUCUCUUCACCCCCAUACACUCCACAGGGGACAAACGCAUUCUCUCACCCUGCAAAUUCUCCCCAAGCAAGCACCCCGUCCCCAGGAUCACCCCAAGCUCACCCCGACGGAGAGUCCUACAGAGGGAGAAUGAGACCCCAAGACGAUCCCCAGCCCCCCCUGUGUCCUGCCAGUCUGUGCACUCCUCCACCUCCGCCUGCAGCCCCUCCUCCAAGGCCCCACUGAAGGAGGUAGAGGUCAAUGUGCCGAGGUCAGUGGGGGGUCACACUCUCCGCCUGAAUAUGUCUGCCUCAGUGGCCAGAGCAAUGCUGGACUGGAUAUAUACAGGAGAGUGCAGUGAGCUGAGGCGCCUGGCCAAGCCCCUGCUGGUGGGAGGGACGAGGCAUGGCGUGGAUGGGCUGGUGGAGGCCUGUGAACAGCACCUGGUGGCUGCCCUCACACCCGCUGCUGCCCCGCACACCCUGCUGCUGGCCCACAAGUACUCUGCCGAUGCCCUGCUCGCUGCCACCAUGAAGUAUGCCGUCACUCAGGCGAAGGAGGUCACCUGUCAGCCGUCCUGGGCCACUGUAGCCACCACUGCCCCGGCCCUCAUCACAGAGUUUUCCCGCCUCUUGGCCCAACACUCCCACCCUGGCCGCAAAAGAUGACUCGACUAAGGAACAACAACUGAACAUGCACACACAUCCUUUGGGAUGAUUGGCUCAGAGAUGGGAGGAAGGAAGGCUGACACUGCUCCUGGCUGGGCACAUGUGUCAGCCCCACCCAGGUGUGCAUCGAGCCAUGGGGAAGGUGAAAUACUACCUGAAGCGCCUGGUGUUAUUCCCGGCCCUCAUCUUUAC